This 343-nucleotide ribosomal RNA is filed under the name Escherichia coli. RNAcentral describes it as "partial 23S ribosomal RNA". It matches the Rfam family "Bacterial large subunit ribosomal RNA", at positions 1 to 371 of the family's 2925-position model. Lineage: Bacteria; Pseudomonadati; Pseudomonadota; Gammaproteobacteria; Enterobacterales; Enterobacteriaceae. The record is from RNAcentral.
GGGUUGUGAGGUUAAGCGACUAAGCGUACACGGUGGAUGCCCUGGCAGUCAGAGGCGAUGAAGGACGUGCUAAUCUGCGAUAAGCGUCGGUAAGGUGAUAUGAACCGUUAUAACCGGCGAUUUCCGAAUGGGGAAACCCAGUGUGAUUCGUCACACUAUCAUUAACUGAAUCCAUAGGUUAAUGAGGCGAACCGGGGGAACUGAAACAUCUAAGUACCCCGAGGAAAAGAAAUCAACCGAGAUUCCCCCAGUAGCGGCGAGCGAACGGGGAGGAGCCCAGAGCCUGAAUCAGUGUGUGUGUUAGUGGAAGCGUCUGGAAAGGCGCGCGAUACAGGGUGACAGC